RNAcentral lists this ribosomal RNA (460 nucleotides) under uncultured bacterium. Its description in RNAcentral is "partial 16S ribosomal RNA". It matches the Rfam family "Bacterial small subunit ribosomal RNA", at positions 338 to 795 of the family's 1533-position model. The record is from RNAcentral.
CCUACGGGUGGCAGCAGUGAGGAAUAUUGGUCAAUGGACGAAAGUCUGAACCAGCCAAGUAGCGUGAAGGAUGACUGCCCUAUGGGUUGUAAACUUCUUUUAUAUGGGAAUAAAAUGUUCCACGUGUGGGAUUUUGUAUGUACCAUAUGAAUAAGGGUCGGCUAACUCCGUGCCAGCAGCCGCGGUAAUACGGAGGAUCCGAGCGUUAUCCGGAUUUAUUGGGUUUAAAGGGAGAGUAGGUGGAUUGUUAAGUCAGUUGUGAAAGUUUGCGGCACAACCGUAAAAUUGCAUUUGAAACUGGCAGUCUUGAGUACAGUAGAGGUGGGCGGAAUUCGUGGUGUAGCGGUGAAAUGCUUAGAUAUCACGAAGAAUUCCGAUUGCGAAGGCAGUUCACUGGACUGCAACUGACACUGAGGCUCGAAAGUGUGGGUAUCAAACAGGAUUAGAUACCCUUGUAGUC